CGAAAGAUGGUGAACUAUUCCUGGCCAGGAUGAAGCCAGAGGAAACUCUGGUGGAGGUCCGCAGCAAUUCUGACGUGCAAAUCGAUUGUCAGAGCUGGGUAUAGGGGCGAAAGACCAAUCGAACCAUCUAGUAGCUGGUUCCCUCCGAAGUUUCCCUCAGGAAAGCUGACACUUACUGACUGAUUUGCAUCCGGUAAAGAGAAUGAUUGGAGGUCUUGGGGACGCAAUGUCCUCAACCUACUCUCAAACUUUAAAUGGGUGUCUCGUUUGUCGCCGCUUUCUUUAAUUAGUGAAGCGAGGCAACAAAUCAAAGUGUCUAGUGGGCCAAGUUUU
RNAcentral lists this ribosomal RNA (333 nucleotides) under Phylladiorhynchus lynceus. RNAcentral's name for it is "partial large subunit ribosomal RNA". It matches the Rfam family "Eukaryotic large subunit ribosomal RNA", at positions 817 to 1139 of the family's 3401-position model. The record is from RNAcentral. Lineage: Eukaryota; Metazoa; Arthropoda; Malacostraca; Decapoda; Galatheidae.